This 167-nucleotide small RNA is filed under the name Crocodylus porosus (Australian saltwater crocodile). Its description in RNAcentral is "TUC338 (ENSCPRG00005013723.1)". The record is from RNAcentral. Lineage: Eukaryota; Metazoa; Chordata; Crocodylia; Crocodylidae.
UUGACAGCACUAGACAAUGAACACUUCUUUUAUCGCCAGAAAGCAAUGGCCUAAGCAGUGUAAACUUCCUCAAACUGUCCUGCCAAUGUGCCUCUCUGACCUAGAGAGGGAUCACCUUUAUGGUGACAGGAUAAUUUGAUCUCUAUACCAUCUAAUCCUUAUUCUCU